UGGCCGCCCUUUCCAGUUAACUAGGUGGACCCCAGUUAAGCGUCUGUCUCGGUUAGCGUCACUCCAGCUGCAACCGGUCCGUGGUAGACGCUGGUUUUUUCCCCUGGUCCGAGUAGGCCCAGUUCCGCCUCUCCGGCCGCUAGACAGUCUCGGAGGCCCUUCCCAUUUACUUUGGGAGCCCCGACGGCGAGCGGCGGCGGCAGCCACCAAGGUUCGGCUUCAGCAUCGACUGCUGACGCCACUACUCAUUCAAGCACCAUGCUGUUUACUUCAGUGUCAGAUGCUUCUACCUCCACUGUUGCUUCUGGGUUCUCAUUUGUUUCCCCAACAACUUCAAAUGGAGCAUUUGGUGGUUUAACUUUGGGAUUUGGAUUCAAAUUUCCUGGAAUGGGUGGAGGAGCUCAUACUGUAUCUACUACAGCAUCAACAACGACUACCACCACUGUCACUACUACCACUACGACUACCACAACCACCAGUGGCUUUACUUUGAAUCUAAGAUCACUGGCAUCAGCUGGGAUUAAUAGCAUUGUUCCAGUCGGUAUUAAUUCCAUACCUUUUACUUCGACUGUUAAUGCAAUCGUAACUCCUGUGAUGACAUAUGGUCAGCUGGAGGGUCUGAUAAACAAAUGGAGCCUUGAUUUAGAGGAUCAAGAGAGGUACUUUCUUCACCAGGCCACUCAGGUCAAUGCUUGGGACCGUACACUGAUUGAGAAUGGUGAGAAGAUUACAACUUUGCAUGGAGAAGUGGAAAAAGUGAAACUGGAUCAGAAAAGGCUGGAACAAGAAUUGGAUUUUAUCCUGUCACAGCAGAAGGAACUAGAAGAUCUCUUGACCCCUUUAGAGGAGUUUGUGAAGGACCAGAAUGGGGCUGCUUAUCUGCAGCAUGAAGAUGCGGAGCCUGGGAAGACUUACAAAUUAGCAGAAAAUAUAGAUGCUCAGCUGAAGCGAAUGGCCCAAGAUCUCAAGGACAUUAUCGAAAACCUGAAUACAUUCGGAAGUCCUGCAGACGUCACUGACCCGCUCCAGCAGAUCUGCAAAAUUCUGAAUGCUCAUAUGGACUCUCUACAGUGGAUUAAUGAGAAUUCAGAUUCCACAUAUAAGUGAAAUCAUACGGUGUUUGUCUUUGUCUGACUUAUUUCACGUAGCAUAAUACCCUCUAGUUCCAUCCAUGUUGUCACAAAUGGCAAGAUUUCAUGUUUUUAUGGGCAUGCUGCAAUGGAAGGUAGAAGAGGUAACACAGGUUUUUGAGGAUCAUCAUCACAUGGAGCUGGAACGCAGUGUCAAGAUUGCUUUUGAUUGAAUGACCAUAUCUUCAGCAUGUUCUUUUGGGAUUAUAUAUCACCUACAAAUUGUGAUGAUGUGAAAUAGAGUAGUAUUUACAAUUAUUACUUAAUCUUUGGUUGCAAUAAAGUGUGCACGUUGUUGGGUUUUUUUUUUUAUUUCAAUAUUAGGCUGUUGAGAAAUAUUCUGUAGUUUGGCUUUUCAUAUUAGCAAACCAGAACUAUAUUUGCCUUCUUUACCAGGCUGCAACCUAUUAGAUGUCGACGCUGUGUGUGUAAUUUUAUCUUAUAUUCUCCUAGAUUCCAUAUUCUACCAGCAGCACAACAUUGUCCUUGUUACUCUAACCGGAUCAUAGAGAAAUGUUUGACGAGAAAUAGAUGCCCAACCAGUCUUUACUGCGUGCCUCUUAACUUUCAACAUAUAGUGCUAGAUACUGUAGUCUUUUUCCUCAACGGAACAUAAUGUCUAGUUUGAGAUAAAAUUAAUGCCUAUCUGUAUAAAAACAAUAUAGACAAUACAAGGAAGUGUGUGAAUUACAGAAAGUGUGCUAUAGAGAUUCAGAGAAGAAGAGAAGUUAGGGUGGAUUUGGGCCUUGAAUUAGGUUAUUUUUAAAAGGGUAAGGUUUAGGCAACUCAUGUAUUUUUUAUGUAUAGAUAACCUUAUUUUAUUUGGCUUUAGCAUAUGAUUUAUAGUUGUUGGUUUUUGUAUAUUUGUUUGUUUUUCAAGAAAAAGCCUUGUUCUUAGCUUGGCAAUAGUUUGAUCUUUCAUGUUGCAUGUUUUACGUAAGGCAUAAAUAAAGAUGAUAUUCUAAAAAAUAAAAGUGUAACAUGAAAGUAAACUUA
RNA transcript from Acinonyx jubatus (cheetah), 2126 nucleotides. It is a transcript of the gene named nucleoporin 62 C-terminal like, with no coding region annotated. The transcript has 11 exons. The record is from RefSeq and is a predicted model, not a curated record. NCBI's taxonomy places the organism in Eukaryota, Metazoa, Chordata, Mammalia, Carnivora, Felidae.